CCUGGGGUUUGGGUUGCAAUUCCCCCAUUUGGGGGUUGCAAUUCCCUGGUUUGGGGGUUGCAAUCCCCUGGGGUUUGGGUUGCAAUUCCCAGGUUUUGGGUUGCAAUUCCCAGGUUUGGGGGUUGCGAUCCCUUGGGGUUUGGGUUGCAAUUCCCAGGUUUUGGGUUGCAAUUCCCAGGUUUGGGGGUUGCAAUUCCCCAGUUUCUGGGUUGCAAUUCCCAGGUUUUGGGUUGCAAUUCCCUGGGUUUGGGGGUUGCAAUUCCCCAGUUUCCGGGUUGCAAUUCCCCCAUUCGGGGGUUGCGAUUCCCUGUUUUUUUGGGUUGCAACCCCCCGGUUUUGGGUGCAAUCCCCCCGUCACCCCCGUCACCCCCGUGUCCGUCCGUCCCCCCAGUGCGGCUUCUUCAAGCGGGACUACAGGGAGCGGCUGGACCAGGACGCGGCCGGCGCCGGGACGGGGGACGACGGGGACAACGGGGACGACGAUAACGGGGACGAUGAUAACGGGGGCGAUAACGGGGACAAUGAUGGGGACACUGGGGACGCCCCCGCGGGGGACACGGACGGGGACCUCGGCCGUGGGGGGCAGGAGCCGCUGCAGGGGGGCGAAGGAGCCCCGUGAGCCGGCGACCGCCCGGCCUUCAUCCUCCAUCUCCAUCCUCCUCCAUCCCCAUCCUCCAUCUCUCCAUCUCCAUCUCCCCAGCCUUCAUCCUCCAUCUCCAUCCUCUAUCUCCAUCAUCUCCAUCCUCCAUCCCUCCUUCUUCCAUCCUCUUUCUCCAUCCAUCCAUCCUCCAUCUCCAUCCUCCUUCCAUCCCUCCAUCCCUCUCCAUCUCUCCGUCCUCCAUCUCUCCAUCCUUCUUCCAUUCCUCCAUCUCCAUCUCUCCAUCCUCCAUCUCUCUGUCCUCCAUCUCCAUCUCUCCAUCUCUCCAUCCUCCAUCUCUCCAUCCUCCAUGUCCAUCCUCCAUCU
This 964-nucleotide long non-coding RNA is filed under the name Apteryx haastii (Great spotted kiwi). RNAcentral describes it as "lncRNA (ENSAHAG00000009067.1)". Lineage: Eukaryota; Metazoa; Chordata; Aves; Apterygiformes; Apterygidae. The record is from RNAcentral.